GAUCUUCAGGGCAGGGUGCAAGUCCCUACCGGUGGUAAAGCCCACGAACCUUUAUGGCCGAUUCGGUGUGAUUCCGAAGCCGACAGUUACAGUCUGGAUGGAAGAAGAU
Molecule: non-coding RNA, 109 nt
Filed under: bovine gut metagenome
Description: FMN riboswitch (RFN element)
Rfam family: FMN riboswitch aptamer (RFN element)
About the family: The RFN element is a highly conserved domain that is found frequently in the 5'-untranslated regions of prokaryotic mRNAs that encode for flavin mononucleotide (FMN) biosynthesis and transport proteins.
Source: RNAcentral